This 421-nucleotide ribosomal RNA is filed under the name uncultured Jonesia sp. Its description in RNAcentral is "bacterial SSU rRNA". It matches the Rfam family "Bacterial small subunit ribosomal RNA", at positions 355 to 774 of the family's 1533-position model. Lineage: Bacteria; Bacillati; Actinomycetota; Actinomycetes; Micrococcales; Jonesiaceae. The record is from RNAcentral.
UGGGGAAUAUUGCACAAUGGGGGAAACCCUGAUGCAGCGACGCCGCGUGGGGGAUGAAGGCCUUCGGGUUGUAAACCCCUUUCAGUAAGGAACAAGGCCAUGAUUGUUGUUGUGGUUGAGGGUACUUGCAGAAGAAGCGCCGGCUAACUACGUGCCAGCAGCCGCGGUAAUACGUAGGGCGCAAGCGUUGUCCGGAAUUAUUGGGCGUAAAGAGCUCGUAGGCGGUUUGUCGCGUCUGUCGUGAAAUCCCGAUGCUUAACGUCGGGCUUGCGGUGGGUACGGGCAGGCUGGAGUGCGGUAGGGGUGACUGGAAUUCCUGGUGUAGCGGUGGAAUGCGCAGAUAUCAGGAGGAACACCGAUGGCGAAGGCAGGUCACUGGGCCGUUACUGACGCUGAGGAGCGAAAGCAUGGGGAGCGAACA